Molecule: ribosomal RNA, 496 nt
Filed under: uncultured bacterium
Lineage: Bacteria
Description: partial 16S ribosomal RNA
Rfam family: Bacterial small subunit ribosomal RNA
Source: RNAcentral
GAUGAACGCUGGCGGCGUGCCCAAUACAUGCAAGUCGAGCGAACAGACGAGGAGCUUGCUCCUCUGACGUUAGCGGCGGACGGGUGAGUAACACGUGGAUAACCUACCUAUAAGACUGGGAUAACUUCGGGAAACCGGAGCUAAUACCGGAUAAUAUAUUGAACCCCAUGGUUCAAUAGUGAAAGACGGUUUUGCUGUCACUUAUAGAUGGAUCCGCGCCGCAUUAGCUAGUUGGUAAGGUAACGGCUUACCAAGGCGACGAUGCGUAGCCGACCUGAGAGGGUGAUCGGCCACACUGGAACUGAGACACGGUCCAGACUCCUACGGGAGGCAGCAGUAGGGAAUCUUCCGCAAUGGGCGAAAGCCUGACGGAGCAACGCCGCGUGAGUGAUGAAGGUCUUCGGAUCGUAAAACUCUGUUAUUAGGGAAGAACAAAUGUGUAAGUAACUAUGCACGUCUUGACGGCACCUAAUCAGAAAGCCACGGCUAACUACGU